GGGCAGAGAGAGAGAGGGAGAGAGUGAAUCCCAAGCAGGCUCCAUGUUGUCAGCGCCGAGCCCCACGCGGGGUUUGAUCCCAUGAACCGUGAGAUCAUGACCUGAGCUGAAACCAAGAGUCUGAUGCUUAACCAACUGAACCACCCAGGCGCCCCACCAAACAAGUUUUUUUUUUUUUUAAUCUGAGAAAGGAAGGAAGGAAGAAAGGAGGAGUUUUAGCAGAAUUACUUGGGUGGUAGAGGCCUCUCGAAAGCACCUUGCCUCUCACAGGUAGCAGAGAAGGAAGAACGAGAAACUGGAGGGGAGACUUUCCUGCUCCCAUUUCCUGCACGAAGAAACUCCCUCUUAAAGUGAGUUGGUACAACCCAUCUGCAGGGUAUAUUUGUCUUAUCCAUCCAUUUGGAUCCCAUUCUUGUUGCAGAAAUUAUCCUUGAGAGGCAAUAGAACAAAUGUGCAAAGAUGAAUAUGUUGGGAUGCACAUUAGUGACAAGCGAGACAAUUAAAGACAACGUAACGUCUGUCAAGGCAAGACAUUAUUUAAUGUGUGGUAAAUGUAUCAUGCUAUACCCCCACAUAUCACAAUGAACUGCCAUUCAAAUGGUGAUCCAUAUUUCUUGCCUGGAGAGAUAAUGAGAAGUGCUAUUUAAUGAGUGUUGACCGUGUGGCAGGUGUUUUACAUAUAUGGUGUUACUCAAUGCUCAUAACCUAGUUUAAGGGAUGAUAAUCCUCAUUUCACCGAUGAGGAAAAUGGCCUGAGGUUAAGUAGGACCAAAUCACAGAUUCAGGAAGCAGUCGGUUAAGAUUUAAACUUUACAGCCCACUGCUGAAACAUCUUUGCCCAUAGCACUUUUUUUUUUUUUUUAAUUUUCGAGACUGAGAGAGAGAGAGAGCACAAGCCAGGGAGAGGGGCAGAAGAAGAGAGAGAGAAUCUUAAGCAGGCUCCAUGCUCAGCGAGGAACCAGAUCCACAGCCCUGGGAUGAUGACCUGCGCUGAAAUCGAGAGUCGGAUGCUGGACCAACUGAGCCACCCAGGUGCCUCUCACAGCACCUUUUUGGAUGAAAUGAUUAAGGUAAUAAAGGGACUCCAUUUACACAAGUCCAUAUACAGAAACAGGAAAGCAGGAGAGUUGGAGAAAUCACCCAAUGGGUGAGACCUACAGGCUUUGGAGUAAGAGUGAGAUCAAAUCCCAGCUCCCCACAUAACCUCGAUCAAGUAACUGGACAUCUCUAGCACUUCGGUUCUCGUAAUUAUAAAAGAAAGGCAAUGUGGCCCAUCUCAUGAAUUUGUUAUAAGAUUAAACACUAAUUGGGAGCUAUCAUAUAAUGCAAAGAGACAUCUGGAAAGCUGUUCACCUGUGUACAAACAGAGGUCGUAUCACUAAGGAGCAAUAUUUGGAGGUGAUUUUUAUUUUAUUUUUUUCUGCGUGUCUUCGUAUCGUUUUCAAGACAGGAAAUCCAGGAAAGCUUUUUUUUGUUUGUUUGUUUUGGAAAAUAAUAAUCAGGUGGCAAAGAAUGGGGGUGAGGAGGAAAAGGGAGAGAAGAUGAAUUCAGUGAAGGGGAUGUGGCAGCAUCCUUGCUAAACUGCUGCCAGGGGGGUUGAGAGCUUGAAUCAGAGCGUUCUGCCUCAUGAAUGAGCAUAAUGUGCAUUUUCAUCAGCUCAAAGAACAUUCGGUAGGAGUCAUACAGGUCUGACUGUAGAGGAGGACUUUUGCUAGGGCGGCUGUUACCAGGCCUGGCCCAUGUCUCUGUGCCCUUGGCCAGAUUCCUGACUUCUCCAGAAGCUCUGCUCUUUCCUCUGGGAAGGAAAGCAGUCUGAAAAAGGAAUCGUGUGAAGAUAUAAGGGAUUCGUCAAGUUAUGGGAGUCCUCUCUAAGUCAGUAUAUUAAUUAAAAAAAAAAAAAAAAAGAGGGGCACCUGGGUGGCUCAGUCGGUUAAGCGUCUGACUCCGUUUCAGCUCUGGUCAUGAUCUCAGGGUUAGUGGGUUCAAGCCCCACCCUGUGAGUGCAGAGCCUGCUUAGGAUUCUCUCUCUCCCUCUCUCUCUCGGCCCUUCCCCUGCUAGGGUUCUCUCUCUCUCCCUCAAAAUAAAUAAAUAAAAUUAAAAAAAAAGAAGAAUUCAGUGGAACUCUUGGCCUCUGAGGGAGAGACUAUAUUUGUCUAACCACUUAAAGUUAAUUUAGAUUUGUACCAAACUCUUAGAAUUAUACAGUUUUUAAAAUCUUUUUUUAAUGUUUAUUCAUUUUUGAGAGAGACAGAGCGUGAAUGGGGGAGGGGCAAAGAGAGAAGGAGACACAGAAUCCGAAGCGGGCUCCAGGCUCUGAGCUGUCAGCACAGGACCCAACGCGGGGCUCGAACCUGUGAACCGUGAGAUCAUGACCCGAGCCGACGUUGGAUGUUUACCCAACUGAGCCACCCAGGAGUCCCAGAACUAUACAUACAUUUUGAUCUAGCAAUUCUACUUUUAAGAAUUUACCCCAAGGAAAUAAUCAUAAGUAUACAAAAUGUGUAGCUAUAGGAAUAUUCAUUAUAGUACCCCUUUAUAAUUGUGAAAAUUAAGUCCUGACUACACGUCCAAUAGGGGAUUGCAUAAAUUACAUAGCUCUGUUCAGUGUAAAACAUAGGCCCCUCUCAAAGUGCUGUUGUAGGAGUAUAUUUAUUGUCAUGGUGAAACGUUCAUGAUAUGAUAUUAAGUAAAAAAAGCCAGGCCCAAAACAAAGUAUUCCCAAGGUGAAAAAAGGAUAUUUACACUAAGGCUUUUGAAACAUAGCAAACUGUUAGCAGUAUUUGUUUCUGAACUGUAUGAGAUUAUUUUCUUCUGUUCACUUAUUGAAUAUAUAUCACUUGGGGAAUAAAUAAGUAAUGUUAUUAUAAUUUUUUUUUAAGGCAAAGGAACCCAAAGUAUAGCCACACUGCUCUGCAUCACCCUAGGCCGCUAACUUCACGAGGACAUGUACCACCCCUGCUUUAGUCCGUCAUUAUGAUGCCAGCACCUGUCACGAUGCCUGACGUGGUAAAGUUCUUCAUAUAUAUUUGUCGAAUGAAUGAAUGAAAUGUAUGAAGAAACAAAGUGAUGGCAACAGGGGGCCCAGAUAGAAGAGAAACUCAAAACAAACUCAACAUACAGCUGCUUGACCUCCUCCGUGUAAUUUGGUAGGUGAGCUCUGUAGGAUGAGACCCAGGCAUCUUUUUUUUUUUAAUGCUUAUUUAUUUAUUUAUUUAUUUAUUUAGAGAGAGUUCACGGGUGAAUGGGGGAAGAGCAGAGAGAGAAGGAGAAAGAGAAUCCCAAGCAGACUCCGCACUCAGCUCAGAGCCCGACAUGGGGCUUGAUCUCACGACCAUGAGGUCAUGACCUGAGCUGAAAUCAAGAGUUGGAUGCUUAACCGACUAAGCCACCCCGGCUUAGUUCAUCUUGGAACCCCUCACGGUGCCUUGCAUAUAGCAGGGGGUGCUCAAUAAAUGUUGCAUGAAAAUAUAAACAAUGGUUUGUCUUUUUCCUCCUGGCAUCAUUUCUGCAGACUUUCCAGUAACAUGUAAACGCAUGCCUGGUGGCAGGUCAUGUGCAAGAGCUGUAAUAAUGGCCAUGGCAACAGGAAGCUGUGGCAGUUGGGGUUAGGUUUGUUGUAAAGUAACAGAAAAAAAAAAACAACAAAGAAUGAUUUUUUUAAAUGAAAAGUUCAUUUCUUUCUAAUGUUUAAGAGAUCUAGAGGCAGGCAGCCCAGAGUUAGAAGAGAGUUCUGUGGUGUUAGGGACCCAGUUUUAUUCUCUUUUUUGCUCUGCCACAAUGGCUUCCAUUCCCAAAGUCAACUCAUGGUCCAAAAUGGCUCCUGGAGCUCCAAUCAUUUCAUCAGAAUUCCAGCAAGAAGAAAAGAAUAAGAGAAGAGAUACCUGCUCCCUCUCCAGAAGUUGCAUACAUGACCUCCACUAUAUCCCAUUGACCAGAGCUUUGUCAAGGGAGCCUGAUGAAUGUAAUUUUUAUUCUGGGAUAUCUUGUUCCCAGUUCAUGAUUGGCGGUUCUCUAACCGUGGAAGAAAAGAAAAACUGAUAUUGGAAAACAACUGGCAGCUUCUGUCACCGAGGUGUCAUUGACCAUCCUAUCACUAGCCAACCAGAGUCUCAUCGAAUGCAUAGCACCUGCAAAGGAAAGUCACCGGGUACUUGGGGCUGCUGCUGACAAACACUGCUCUUUAGUUGCCUUUUAACGACACAUUUCCAUUUCUAGCACAAUCUCUGCCGCUGCCACAGGGGUGAUCGGGGUCACUGCUUUCUCCCUAGCAGAGCUGGACCAUAAACCAGAAGUCAGCAUCUUUCCUGCUUCAGCAAUCACUUAUGUCCUGCCGAUCAUGACUGGCUACAGCAUUCAAAUCAUCAGAGAAAUCCAGAAGUGCUGUGAGGGAGUCUCAUUACAUAAAUGAGGAAAGAAACAGAGGAGGCUAAAAGUCUCAAAGUUUAUCUUUAAGGUAUUGGAGUGAGGCCACGGGGUGCUGCCCUUCCUGACAUCACCAUGGGUCUGGCGGGCCACUAGACGUGAGAGGAGAGAAGAAAUGGUUGGCCCUUAGAGCAAAAGACAAGGAAGCGUUCUUUCUUUGUGGAAAUGAUACGAAGCAGAGAAUCAUAAUCCUCUUAGCAGCUGCCAUUUAGUUAGGUGUUGGGCAAGUCCUUUGGUUGCCAACAUCCAAGGCAGCCCGUCACGAUCCUCACUUCCCAGCAUGCAUGUGCUUACAUGGUCCCCUUCUGUGUGGAAUCAGGAUUGACCUGUACGACCAACAGAAUGCAGUGGAGGUGGUGAUGUGCGACUCCUGGGGCUAAGUGGUAAAAGGUAUUGCAACUUCUGCCUUGUCCUUGGAUGGAUUGCACUCGGGGAAGCCAGUCACCAUGCACUAAAGACACUACAAGUCCUGUAGACAGGCCUGUGUGGAGAGGAACCAAGAUAUCCUGCUAAGCACCAACUUCUCGACCGAACAUAGUGACCAACACUAGAUGUGGUUCCUCCAGCUCCUGUCUAUCCAUCAGAUGAACUGCAGCCCAGGCUGCCAUUGGGCUGAACUGGAUGAGAAGUUCCAUCCAGGGGCGUCUGGGUGGCUCAGUCGGUUAAGCAUCCACCUUCGGCUCAGGUCAUGAUCUCAUGGGUUCAAGUGGGUUCAAGUCCCGUGUCGGGCUCUGUGCUGACAGCUUGGAGCCUGGAGCCUGGAGCCUGUUUCAGAUACUGUGUGUGUGUGUGUGUCUCUCUCUCUCUCUCUACCCGCUCCCCCACCUAUCCUCUGUCUGUCUGUCUCUCUCAAGUGAAUAAACUUAAAAACAGAUGAUUUUUUAAAAAAGAAAUUCCAUCCAGAACCAUCCAGCUGAGCCGCUCCUAAAUUCCUGACCCUCAAAAACCAUGAGAUACUAAAAAGACUUAUUGUUGCUUUAAGCCACUAUGUUGGGGGGUAAUUUGUCAUGCGGCAGUAGAUAACUAACACAUCCUUUAUAUAUAACGUAUUUAUCACCACAACACUCUGAACUAGGCAUUAUGACCCCCAUUUUACUGACAGGGAGACCAAGGCCUGGAAAGGUUAGUUUGUUUUCCCCAGUCAGAGCAGCUGGUGAGGCCAAGCUGGCACUCCAGGUUAGCUCUGCCCGCACAAAACCUGUGCACUGAACAGCUGCUCGCUGUGCUAGAGACCGUGGGGACCCAUCUAGGACUUCCACAAUGCCUGGAAACAGAGCUAAAUGCUCCCGAAUGAACUGAGUGGUCUUGUUACGGUGAGGUUUACCUGCUAACAUCUGGGAUUAUGCAGGCCCAAUAGACAGUUGUGGGUCUGUGGCCUAAAAUCCACAGCCAGCGUGAAACUCAAGGGCACAGUCAUGCUGUGAAACAUCAGGCACUGCCUGCCGUGGGAGCCCCAUUUAGGCCCUUGGGAUGCAGAAAUGUUCCUGAAGUCACAGCAGAAGUUUAAACAGCCUCUGGACAGUUGUCUCGCAUGAGGUCUCACUAGAUCAAGUUUUAAAGUUUUCUGAAUACAGAGGGCCGGGAUGGGGUCUCUGGCCAGGAACGUGGAGUGCAAUGAUCAUUUGCCCUUCACUUUUUUCCUAUGGUGGGUCAGUUUCCAUUUAACAACAUGGCUGCCUGCCAGUGUGCUGAUGGGGCCAAAUUCAGUCUGUGCCUCCUUGUCAGCAAAAGGAUGUGAACGUUCCUCUGAAGGCACAUCAAGGAAUGGGCUUCUGAGCUCCUCGUUGGAACUAACUGGUUCAUGUGUGUCUCAUUCUGGCCAGAGCCCUCACCGAGAGACCGGCAGUCACUUGAUGUCUAGUGGAAACUUCUGGUCCUGCCGUCCUGUUGACUAAGAAACCCGAGGAUGUGGGUACGUACGAGGUCUGUCCUCAUUGCCCAGGCUUCUCUGUUGCACUCCAGACACAAAUCUGCUCUGGCAACCACAUAAGCAGUCCAGUAAAUGAGGGAGGAAGGUCUCUUUCUGAAGGAUGAAAUGUCACUUCUAAAACAGAACUCAUUCUCUCUUUUCAGCUCUCUCAAACUUUCCAUCCUACGAGUGGUGCCAAUAUGCCCCUGAGCUCAAAAUUUUGGCAUCAACAUUGACAGUUUCCUCCGUUCGGCCCUUCAAAUGGAGCCAGCCAUCCAGGCUUCUCAAGUGCGCCUUCAAACUCUCCUAGGAUGAUUUCUUUCCAUUCCUGCUUGGCCUUUGGGUCGUUACAUAGUUGGAUACCUGAGCCUAAAUUCCCCUUCCCUUCAA
RNAcentral lists this long non-coding RNA (6722 nucleotides) under Lynx pardinus (Iberian lynx). The record is from RNAcentral. Lineage: Eukaryota; Metazoa; Chordata; Mammalia; Carnivora; Felidae.